UAGUCCACGCCGUAAACGAUGAUUACUCGCUGUAGGCGAUACACAGUCUGUGGCUAAGCGAAAGUUUUAAGUAAUCCACCUGGGGAGUACGAUCGCAAGAUUGAAACUCAAAGGAAUUGACGGGGGCCCGCACAAGCGGAGGAACAUGUGGUUUAAUUCGAUGAUACGCGAGGAACCUUACCUGGACUUAAGUGUGCGUUGCAUAGAUCAGAGAUGGUCUUUUCUUCGGACUACGUACAAGGUGCUGCAUGGUUGUCGUCAGCUCGUGCCGUGAGGUGUCGGGUUAAGUCCCAUAACGAGCGCAACCCUUAUCACUAGUUGCCAGCAUUACCUUCGGGUAGAUGGGGACUCUAGUGAGACUGCCGGCGUAAGCCGCGAGGAAGGUGGGGACGACGUCAAAUCAUCAUGGCCUUUAUGUCUAGGGCGACACACGUGCUACAAUGGUAGGGACAGAGGGUAGCUAAGCAGCGAUGUGGUGCUAAUCUCAAAAAACCCCUAUCCCAGUUCGG
Molecule: ribosomal RNA, 509 nt
Filed under: uncultured bacterium
Lineage: Bacteria
Description: bacterial SSU rRNA
Rfam family: Bacterial small subunit ribosomal RNA
Source: RNAcentral